UACGUAGGGUGCGAGCGUUAAUCGGAAUUACUGGGCGUAAAGCGUGCGCAGGCGGUCUGUUAAGACCGAUGUGAAAUCCCCGGGCUUAACCUGGGAACUGCAUUGGUGACUGGCAGGCUUUGAGUGUGGCAGAGGGAGGUAGAAUUCCACGUGUAGCAGUGAAAUGCGUAGAGAUGUGGGGGAACACCGAUGGCGAAGGCAGCCCCCUGGGUCAAGAUUGACGCUCAUGCACGAAAGCGUGGGGAGCAAACAGG
This 254-nucleotide ribosomal RNA is filed under the name uncultured bacterium. RNAcentral's name for it is "partial 16S ribosomal RNA". It matches the Rfam family "Bacterial small subunit ribosomal RNA", at positions 524 to 776 of the family's 1533-position model. The record is from RNAcentral.